AUGAUACUUCCGAAAGCCAAAGCAGGCAUGGGUUUCCGUUCCAUGUAUGCUUUUAACCAAGCACUUCUCGCAAAGCAGGCUUGGCAUCUUCUGGAUACCCUAGAUAGCUUAUGCGCACGCUUACUACAUGCAAAAUAUUAUCCAAAUGGAAAUCUCCUUGAUGCACUUUUUUCUAGAAAUUAUCCAGCUGUUUGGAAGGGAAUUGAAUAUGGUCUUGACCUUGUCAAGAAAGGUAUUAUAUGGUGUGUGGAUAAUAGUACAUUGAUCAUAGCUUGGAGGGACCCUUGGAUCCCUCGAGGAUCUUCUCGCCGUCCGGUGUCUUCCAAGCGGCAUUGCCGUUUUAACCGGGUUUCAAAUUUUUUAGGUGAGCAUGCGAUAACUCACAAGGUAGGAUAUCGAUUGUAG
RNAcentral lists this ribosomal RNA (405 nucleotides) under Triticum aestivum (bread wheat). RNAcentral describes it as "partial small subunit ribosomal RNA". Lineage: Eukaryota; Viridiplantae; Streptophyta; Magnoliopsida; Poales; Poaceae. The record is from RNAcentral.